This is an RNA transcript of Cyanidioschyzon merolae strain 10D, 2025 nucleotides long. RefSeq lists it as hypothetical. The record is from RefSeq and is a predicted model, not a curated record. NCBI's taxonomy places the organism in Eukaryota, Rhodophyta, Bangiophyceae, Cyanidiales, Cyanidiaceae. The transcript has a single exon.
AAAUUGUCCUCCGAGGCCUGCCAUGCGUCACGUGAACGCUCGCACCAGCGCUCGGCACGCGCCCUCGGAGAGCAAAGGACGCCCUCCGCAGUGCCCGUCACCGUUUCCGCGCCCGGUGCGGUCCAAAAAAGAUCACGGGCGUCUUCUGAGCGAUACCUCGUCGAAGGCGCUGUUCGCUGCACUAUGAAGAGGGCGCCUAUCCGUUCGAUGGAGGAUUUCUGGUACAUUAUAUCGUCUCCAAGGAAACACGUAUCGGAAGGAAGAUCCAAGCUGGAGAGCGAUUCGGGAACGUUACUAUCCACCCACGGACGCUUCCCAGCCUUUUUGGACAGGACUGUGCUCCGGGCUUCAGCUUCUCCCUGCACACUUCGAGCGUAAGAGGCUCCUAACAAAGUCGGAUCACGUCAACUGCUCGGGUCUCGUCUUCAGAACAGCAUAUCGUCGGAUACUGAUGGCAGCGUUGGAAUCUCGUUUCACGAAGUCCAUGCCUGCUGUGCCGCUGAUUGUACUCACCACUGCAAGGAGUCCUCGAAGUCGUGCCCUCCGUUCAACCGAAGUCUUGUCAUCAUCCCGUCGUCCAGGCACGAUUUCUCGCCUAUAUCCCCUCAUCACCAUCUUCUUCUUCAUUCGCUUGUCUUUGCUCGAGUAACAUCGAGGAGAGGAUUUUUUCAUUGUUUGCCGGCAGCCGGUGAUGACAAAUCUCUAGGAUUCCUGAUUUCCGUGUGCAUACCUCUUCCAUGGUUUUAUAUUCUUUUUAGAUGAACGCACUUUGAAUGCAUCUGGUACAAAUCGCUAAAAAGCAUUUGAUGACACACGGCUGGGGAUGGAACGCAAUUGAGGUGAAAGACUAAAACAAGGUGCAUGCGCUCGUACCGAAUGCGUGCAUCCACCUAUGAGUCAUAUAGCUUAGACGAUUCGAGACAGAAACGCACGCGGAGAACCCACCUACCAUCUGGCAUACAAUUGAUAGUUGCAUACGUCUUGACGGGGACUGUACCUGCGCUCUUUUACUGUACCAGAUUGAGUUCCUGGACAGCAAAUGCGAAGCAGACGAAUAUAGCUAGCGCUACGCGAAAACAUCUGUCAACCUUUACGUCGAAUCUGCGAGAGGCUUGACAACAUCGGUAUUCAGCUCUUAGAAUGAAAAUGGAAAGCGCGCAGAUUUUUUAUACUGGCGGAAAGCAACAGAUCUGCAACCGCACACAUAACUAAUCCUGUGAUUGCACAUCCAAAAAAAGGACGACCACUUAUAUCGGGCACGAGCCAUCGCACUAGACAUGCAGUGAAUUCAGCGCAAGAUAUGAUGCCUCGCGACCAUCUGAGCACAGCAGUAAAGGAUCGAAGUGAACGGAGUAUGUCACAGCGACACACUCUGGAACAGAUCUAUCCCUUACGCCAUAGAGAAAACACUUGCCCAAGGUUAAUGGCACACAUUAAAGUUUGAGGAAGGGCAUUGGCCUAGUUCAGGGUUGCGGCAGCAAUCGCACAUCCGGGGUGACUCUGGUUCAAAGCACCGAUCUUGCACCAUCAAAGGAGCUGGAGCAUAUAAAUGAAUCUUUGACGGUCCUUUUCCGGGCCCAUGAUCCCGCAAGAAGCCGCUAUGAACAGUACGUAGUACGCUCGCGAAGCCAAGAAAAGUAUUCAUGAAGAUGCUGGAGAGUUCUCAGCGAUAUUCAAGGGGAUGCGAAUGCUUGGCACGCCUAAUACUGUUGGUCGUCUCUUCUUUUGUCGACUAGGAACGCCUCUGCGGUUAUCCCUUGAGAGUCCGUCUCCAGCAAGGCCUACCGCAUUCGGAUGACGAACUCCGUGAGCUCUGCCAACAGGAGAGGUUGCCGAAGAGCGCGAAAAGAUUCGAUCGUUGUCCAGGAUCUUCCGGGUUCGCGGAUGCGAAGCUGCGGAACCUCGUGCGCUUGCAUCAGCUCCAUCUCGCAAACGCGAUCCUUUGCGCAUAAGUGUUUCCCAGCCGCGGGCAACGUUUCCAUGUAUCCAAGUAUCCUCCAAGUAGGAGGUUUCCAUAUCAUAAAU